CGCCUCUUGAAUUAAUAUAAGAGGUCCAGCCUGCCCAGUGACCCUGUUCACGGCCGCGGUAUCCUAACCGUGCGAAGGUAGCGUAAUCACUUGUUCUUUAAAUGAGGACUUGUAUGAACGGCAUCACGAAGGUUAUACUGUCUCCUUUUUCUAAUCAGUGAACCUAAUCUCCCCGUGAAGAAGCGGGGAUGUAAUUAUAAGACGAGAAGACCCUAUGGAGCUUAAAACAACACAGCACUUGCUAAAAAACUAAACAAUUUCAGAAUUCUCAUUUUCUAAGCAACAUGACUGUAAGUUUUUGGUUGGGGUGACCACGGAGUAUAAUAUAACCUCCAUGUUGGAAGAAUUUUAUUCUAAGCCAAAAAUUACAUUUUUAAGCAUCAAUAAAUUGACAUCUAUUGACCCAAUAUAUUUGAACAACGAACCAAGUUACCCUAGGGAUAACAGCGCAAUCCACUUCAAGAGCUCCUAUCGACAAGUGGGUUUACGACCUCGAUGUUGGAUCAGGGUAUCCCAGUGGUGCAGCCGCUACUAAAGGUUCGUUUGUUCAACGAUUAAAACCCU
RNAcentral lists this ribosomal RNA (564 nucleotides) under Peltophryne empusa (Cuban small-eared toad). Its description in RNAcentral is "Peltophryne empua (Cuban small-eared toad) partial 16S ribosomal RNA". It matches the Rfam family "Bacterial large subunit ribosomal RNA", at positions 1819 to 2597 of the family's 2925-position model. Lineage: Eukaryota; Metazoa; Chordata; Amphibia; Anura; Bufonidae. The record is from RNAcentral.